UUUUCCGCAAUGGGCGAAAGCCUGACGGAGCGACGCCGCGUGGAGGAUGAAGGAUUUCGGUCUGUAAACUCCUGUCAGUGGGGACGAAUCACCUGACGGUACCCACAAAGGAAGCAUCGGCUAACUACGUGCCAGCAGCCGCGGUAAGACGUAGGGUGCAAGCGUUGUCCGGAUUUAUUGGGUUUAAAGGGUGCGUAGGCGGCUAUUUAAGUCAGUGGUGAAAUCCAUCAGCUCAACUGAUGAACUGCCAUUGAUACUGGAUAGCUUGAGUACAGACGAGGUAGGCGGAAUUGACAGUGUAGCGGUGAAAUGCAUAGAUAUUGUCAAGAACACCGAUUGCGAAGGCAGCUUACUAGGCUGUAACUGACGCUGAGGCACGAAAGUGCGGGGAUCAAACAGG
RNAcentral lists this ribosomal RNA (400 nucleotides) under uncultured bacterium. Its description in RNAcentral is "bacterial SSU rRNA". It matches the Rfam family "Bacterial small subunit ribosomal RNA", at positions 362 to 776 of the family's 1533-position model. The record is from RNAcentral.